This is a long non-coding RNA of Gallus gallus (chicken), 3494 nucleotides long. RefSeq lists it as uncharacterized. Lineage: Eukaryota; Metazoa; Chordata; Aves; Galliformes; Phasianidae. The transcript is spliced from 2 exons. The record is from RefSeq and is a predicted model, not a curated record.
GGCCCUAAGAAAGCAGAGAAGAUCCAACGCAGCCGACUAUGUCGGAGGGUUUGACUUCUUACCAGUUCCUGGGCAACAAUUCCUGUCAGAGAGGACUGGAUGAAAGGCAGGAGGUUUACGGCAGCAACAUUCGCAACUUCAUACAGACACCCCUAUGGAAUGCCUCUGGGGAGUCUCUCGUAGGAAAUAAUUUAUGAGAAGUACGCGGAGGCCACCUGCAUGCACCUACUUCAGUGUCUGCAAAGCCGCAGCCUCUGCCAGAGCUGUCAGCCUCCCCACGACCGACCUGUCCGUCAACACCGAAACCUGACGAGUCAGCUCUGCCACUGUGAGGCUGCUUGCAGAGGCAGGCGAGACAAGGAGCAAAGCCCUCCGCAAAACAGCAACAAAACCUUUUUCUGUGAUCUUUUGGCAAUGGGAGGGCAGGGGAGAGAGAGGAGAGAUCGCUGUUUGUUUCCUUUUGUUGCUGCUGCUGCUGCUGUUGUUGCUGUGCGAGCCAGGUUACAUAACGCUUAAUUUCAGGCUCCUUUCGGUGGCACGAUGAUGUAUACGCAAUGCAAAUAUCCUCGCUGGAAUUACAGGAGCAAUUUAUCAAUUCAUGUGCGGCUAAUCAACCCAUUUGCUUUCUAGUGUGUAACAGCGACAGCUUAUCUCAUGCAGACUCACGAUCGUUCGGUGCAGUCUAAUUGAAUUUCAGGGCCAGGAGCGUUGCACGCCACGUGACGGCCCACCGAGCGGUGCCAGACACUGCAGGCGUUACAUAAUCAUGCGCGGCGGCUGCCCGGGGAGGGCCGUGCUCCCUCGCCUCAUCGCCUUGGCGGGCGGCCUCUCCUUGCUCAUGCCCCGCAGCCCCAGCCCGCACACACCGCUCACAUGGACGGUCACAUGUUUCGGAGACGGGAAGGGGACCUCUCCCCCCGCCAGUCAAAACUGGUCGUUAAAUCGGCAAAGGAGAUUAGAGACGCGUGGCAUCCAAGGGAGCACCUGGCUCCCCGCCGCCUCGUGAUGAGGGAGCCGCAGGAGAUGGGAGCACCACACAAAUAGGGGUGCCCCUGUGGGGCCUCGGUGUUGGUCUGGGACCCGGCAAGCCUCAGUGGAGGCCAACAGCUGACUAGCUGAGCCUUGCCCCAGGCAGCUGGCAGCCAGGCCCCUGCUCCAUUCAGCCCCCGAGCACGUGCAGGGAGGUCAGGGUAACUGCCCUCCUCUGCCUGGCACGUACUGAUCACAUCGGGUAUGACUCACCUGAAGGGAUUUUCCACAAACAAGGCGGGCGCUGUGUAAUAAGGGAUAUAUAUUAACUGCCGGGGAUAAAAAUGUGUGCUCCUCCCCACAUCAGAGAGACGGGCUAGAUGCACUUCAGGCAAUGGGAUUCCGACCAGUUUCACCAUCUGCAGAUCUGCGUUGCCAAACAUAAAAGCCGCAGAUCACAGCUGAGGGCUGGAGGAGCACGGGGUUAGCACGCAUCCCAGCUCACGCCGGCCCCGUGUCGACAUCCAGCUUACUGAGUUGGAAGCUGCUGACCAUCCCACCCACCUGCAUCGUCAGUGCCUUGACAGCACGGGGUGGUCUGUGAGGGAUGGUGCCACGUACAGGUCCCUAUGCUUUGUCUACCCUUGGACUGCAAGUUUUUAGAGCUACCUUGACCCAGAAUUCUUUCUUCAGGAGAACAGGCACUGCAACUGCAGCUAGCCAGCACAGCAGGACAGGGCUUUGAAAUCUGUACGACACAAGCAGUGACUCUUUUCAUGUAUGCCAACAUUUCAGCAAAUAAAAAAGGCAUGCCUUUUCCCAGUAGAAGCCAACUUCAGAACAAGAAUUUAUGCAGAUAAUCUAGAGCCAAGCUUACUAAAUCAGGGUUUGUUAAGACAUUUGUCCAACAAAUCUUUCAUUCACAAAGCCCAGGAGCAUGUUGUCUGCUUGAUUUAAGGAGGAGAGAAAAUGGGCACCAAACCAAUUGCUAUGUUCUGCACUGUCAUACAGAAAGUCCAGGUUACGCUUUCAGAGAGACCUUUGAAGGUGAGUCAUUUGGUCCUCUGGAGAGAAGCCCAGAACAGAAGAUAGCCUGUGAUAACUUGAAAGUACCCUCUGCUGCCCUGACACAUUCCACUGCAUUGAGACAACGUGAGGAGUGCAUGGGCCAGGCAGUGGCUCAGCAUAAAAAGCAAUGCCAUAUUCAAGUAGCCCAUCAAAGGGGAGAUCGGUUCCCUCACAUCGUCCUUCAGCAUCCCAUCUAACAGCAUAAGAAUCUGACGGAAGUCAGCCCCAGACCCAAACACACAGCAUCUACCAAGUCAGAAACAGACAUUAACGCAAUAUAUAUAAUCACCAAUUUCAGAAAAAAUAAGGCAGUUUCCCCAGAGUGGCUCGUGCUCAAGUCAGAUGGGCGCUGUAACUUGUUGUAGCUGCACAUGUGCUUUUCUAGCAAGAACGUGUCUGAAAGAGCCCUUUUGUGCACAGCUGCAGCUGCCCAGCGGCUGGUUUGCCACCUCCUGUGGCUUUGGAGGCCCCUACUGGAAGAUGGAGAUGUACGUGCACUUUGCAGUCCGGGGCAAUAAAGCAGCUCCUUUUCGUCUGGCAAAGCUGCAGCGUGAAAUUAAUAGUUCAGGAUUGUGCAGAGGGCUUGAGAAAACAUGUUUAAUUUACCCUGAUUUUAUGACCUCACAGUUUUCAAGUGGGGCAAUGCCCCAGCUGGCUGAAUAGUAAAAUCACAUUGCAUAGGGCAUAGCAGCAAAACAGAUAGUGAUCAAAGUGCUGAACUCAAGACGCAGAAGCCAUGAACUGUUGGCUAGUUCAAAAGAAAACAUUAUCGCAGCAACAUUUCCUUUCCUGCUCUCAAAUGAAGUCUGUCUUCAGCUAAAAAUCAGAACGAAACAGAGAAAAGGAAGAAGUGUGCAAAAAAAUGGGAAAGAUAGAGAUGCUUUAAGAAAUCGGGGGAACGAUUUAUUCCAGUCUCAAACCAUCUAGAGUUUAAAAAGUGGUUUAAAUAUACACUGAACUUAAUUCAACAUAUAUUUAAUUCAAAGUAUGUAUCAACUACUUUACUACUUUGAUAAGUUUACUGUUCAUUUUUUAAACAGGCAGUAAAAUUCCCUGUUUUUAGAUUACCUGCUGCUCUAGAGUUUGUUACUGAGAUAAAACAAGCUCUUUCAGUACCAUAAGCAUUGAAAAAAAAAUCUAUAUAUGAACAAACAGCUUCAUUUUAGUCAAGUGCCUAUUUGUAGAGAACACUCUGGAGAGCCAGCCCUUCCAACCAAAAGACCUCCCAGUGCAUGAGGUAAGACCCCAGAAAGAGCCAGUUCAUCCGCACCCUCCUAAUCCUAGUUCAACACGUGUGCUAUGCACGCUAAAAUGCAGCCAGCACUGCUCUCAUUUGACUCCCUUUCCCUCGGCUGUGUGGCACAGCAGGUUAUUUGCACACACAAGCAGAAAUAGGUAGCACUCUGCCCAGACUCCUGCAAUACAAAUUACUUGUUUCCGUCUAAUCACAUCACAGA